AGUGCUUUUAAUUUUCAGACCAACCAAACAUUUUUAAUAUAAAAACAUUUUGAUAAUAUACAAACAGCAAUCACAACAGCAUCCACAUGGCAGCAAGGGGACCAGGGCACAGAGAGGGGGAGCGGGCUGGGGAGGGACAGUUUUCAGGGUCCCAGUUGCUUCCCUGGCUUGAAAUCACCCUGGUCCUAGCAGAGGACAGGUUAAGGCUGCCAGAGGCAGAGGGUCCCUGACCCUGGCCCGGAGACAGACUGCCCAGGCAGGCCCUCUGAUACCAUCUUCCAACCAUGGCAGCCUCCAGGAAAAGCCAGAUCCAUUUAGGAGAUAACAGGAAGGUGGCUGUGAUUGACAGGAAAGGCAACAUGGUUCCUCAGCAUCCUGCUGAUCACACCUCUGGGAGGGGCUGCUGGAUUGAAGAGGACUAAGAAUCUUCCUGGGAGCAGGACAGAAAUGGGAUCUAAGUCUACCUACUAACUAAGAUUCCCGCCUGUGACACCAGAAAGCUGGAGUGGAUCUGCUCAGAUGUACAAGAAGAGAAAGGAAUGACAAAGCCUUUGGCUCAGCAGGAGUGGAGCCUUGACAGGCACUGACCAAGAAAGCCUCUAGGUGGGCCAGGGAGGUCUGUGGGAAAGCUUUGGAUCAAUGGUACUCAAGGGUGCACAGUGGCACAGUGGUCUUAGGUAGAAUUUAUGAAGACGAAAAGAACACAAGUCAGAAUUUAGAACUGAAGUAACUGCUUCUUAUAGGCCAGUAGAGGAAAAGCGAGAUCAUCCUUCUGGCCAGGACUAGGGAAGACCCAAGGCCUGUUCUUUCCUAGGGGCUGAGUUUGACAGACCUGGAUGCAGCUGAUGGCCCCCAAAGUCCUCUAGAUGGGCCCUGCAGGACUCGCUGGGAGGCCUGGUUGCCCCUCCCGGUGUGCUGGGACACUCUGGGUUCCUGCAGUUAGAUGCAGUCCAUGGAGUUCUCAGGAAGGAGGCCAGGGAUGCAGCCAGGGAGGCCCAGGCCCUUGAUAGGAGUGCAGUUGAGUGGGAGGCCGCAGCCCAGGGAGGGGUCCUGGGUCUCUAUGGCCUCCAGCCUGUCCAUGUUGUUGUCCCAGUUGAUAUGGAAGCGGGUCACCCGGGGGUUUGAGGCCAAGAUGUUCCGCUGGAGCUGGGGCAGGAAGAGGAACGUCAACCCUUGUAGGUACGCCCUCUCCUUGCUCCCAUAGAGCCAGGACACCCCCAAUCACCCAUCUCAAGCCCAGCAAGAGCAACCUACAUAUGGAACUCCAGAAAACACCUGUGGCCAGGACCUUAUUUAUUUAUUUUUUGAGACGGAGUUUUGCUUUUGUUGCCCAGGCUGGAGUGCAAUGCUGUGAUCUCGUCUCACUGCAACCUCUGCCUUCCAGGUUCAAGCGAUUCUCUUGCCUCAGCCUCCUGUGUAGCUGGGACUACAGGUGCAAGGCACCAUACCUGGCUCAUUUUCGUAUUUUUAGUAGAGACGGGCUUUCACCAUGUUAGCCAGGCUGGUCUCAAACUCCUGACCUCAG
Molecule: long non-coding RNA, 1525 nt
Filed under: Pan troglodytes (chimpanzee)
Lineage: Eukaryota; Metazoa; Chordata; Mammalia; Primates; Hominidae
Description: long non-coding RNA NONPTRT008000
Source: RNAcentral